UGAUGGGGAAGGUCAUUUUGACCGAAGUAUCUGAUUCCACGCUGCCAAGAAAAGCCUCUAGGGAGCAAAGUAGUGCCCGUACCGCAAACCGACACAGGUAGAUGAGGAGAGAAUCCUAAGACCAUCGGAAGAAUUGCAGUUAAGGAACUCGGCAAAUUGACCCCGUAACUUCGGGAGAAGGGGUGCCUACGCAAGUAGGCCGCAGAGAAUAGGCCCAAGCAACUGUUUAGCAAAAACACAGGUCUCUGCUAAAGCGAAAGCUGAAGUAUAGGGGCUGACGCCUGCCCGGUGCUGGAAGGUUAAGGGGAAUGCUUAGCGCAAGCGAAGGCAUGAACUUAAGCCCCAGUAAACGGCGGCCGUAACUAUAACGGUCCUAAGGUAGCGAAAUUCCUUGUCAGGUAAGUUCUGACCCGCACGAAUGGCGUAAUGACUUGGGCACUGUCUCAACUGCAAAUCCGGCGAAAUUGUAGUGCCAGUGAAGAUGCUGGCUACCCGCGAUUGGACGGAAAGACCCCGUAGAGCUUUACUGUAGCUUAGCAUUGAAUUUCGGUAUUGUCUGUACAGGAUAGGUGGGAGACUGAGAAACUGGGGCGUCAGCUUCAGUGGAGUCACCCUUGGGAUACCACCCUGACAGUACUGAGGUUCUAACGGAUACCCAUGAAACUGGGUGCCGGACAUUGUUAGGUGGGCAGUUUGACUGGGGCGGUCGCCUCCUAAAAAGUAACGGAGGCGCCCAAAGGUUCCCUCAGAACGGUCGGAAAUCGUUCGAAGAGUGCAAAGGCAGAAGGGAGCCUGACUGCGACACCUACAAGUGGAGCAGGGACGAAAGUCGGGCUUAGUGAUCCGGUGGUACCUCGUGGGAGGGCCAUCGCUCAACGGAUAAAAGCUACCUCGGGGAUAACAGGCUGAUCUCCCCCAAGAGUCCACAUCGACGGGGAGGUUUGGCACCUCGAUGUCGGCUCGUCGCAUCCUGGGGCUGAAGUAGGUCCCAAGGGUUGGGCUGUUCGCCCAUUAAAGCGGCACGCGAGCUGGGUUCAGAACGUCGUGAGACAGUUCGGUCCCUAUCCGUCGCGGGCGUAGGAAAUUUGAGAGGAGCUGUCCCUAGUACGAGAGGACCGGGAUGGACUGACCUCUGGUGUACCAGUUGUCACGCCAGUGGCAUUGCUGGGUAGCUAUGUCGGGACGGGAUAAACGCUGAAAGCAUCUAAGCGUGAAGCCCACCUCAAGAUUAGAUUUCCCAUAGCGUAAGCUAGUAAGACCCCUUGAAGAACACGAGGUUGAUAGGUCAGAGGUGUAAGUGCAGUAAUGUAUUAAGCUGACUGAUACUAAUAGGUCGAGGGCUUGACCAAAUUAUUUUAAACCAUAUGCAGUUUUGAAAGAA
RNAcentral lists this ribosomal RNA (1381 nucleotides) under Clostridium algidicarnis DSM 15099. RNAcentral describes it as "bacterial LSU rRNA". It matches the Rfam family "Bacterial large subunit ribosomal RNA", at positions 1563 to 2925 of the family's 2925-position model. Lineage: Bacteria; Bacillati; Bacillota; Clostridia; Eubacteriales; Clostridiaceae. The record is from RNAcentral.